Molecule: RNA transcript, 447 nt
Organism: Homo sapiens (human)
Lineage: Eukaryota; Metazoa; Chordata; Mammalia; Primates; Hominidae
Gene name: dual specificity protein phosphatase 22
Source: RefSeq, marked validated
AGCGGGAACAUGGCGCCCGGAACUGGCGAGCGCGCCUAGCUGGCGGGACCGUUAGCUCGAGGCGGACGCGGCCCGGACCCGGUGGAUGUGGAGCAGUCGCCGCUGCCGGCGCCCAAGCCGACCCCAGGGCCGACCCCCGCAAGGAGCUGAAGGAGGUGGGAGCCCCAGUCGCCGCGGGCGUCGGCGCCGUCAAAGAAGAUGGCCACGGAGACAGCAGUGUGGUCAGAGUGGUGGAGCUGGUCAUCGGCGAGAGCUGCUCCAUGUCUGUCUGCUGAGUGCUAGAGCCUGUGGCCCACUGGCUUGCCUCACUGUGGUUGAUGGUGGCGGUGACAGAGACUGCAGCACGACCAGAGUGGCUUUUCUGGCUUUGCCCACCCAGCUGCUCCAUGCCAGGAGGAGGAGGAGACACCUAGAGCCUGCGACACCACGACUUGCCUCACUGCGGGU